UACGUAGGGUGCGAGCGUUAAUCGGAAUUACUGGGCGUAAAGCGUGCGCAGGCGGUGAUGUACGACCGAUGUGAAAUCCCCGGGCUCAACCUGGGAACUGCAUUUGUGACUGCAUCGCUGGAGUGCGGCAGAGGGGGAUGGAAUUCCGCGUGUAGCAGUGAAAUGCGUAGAUAUGCGGAGGAACACCGAUGGCGAAGGCAAUCCCCUGGGCCUGCACUGACGCUCAUGCACGAAAGCGUGGGGAGCAAACAGG
RNAcentral lists this ribosomal RNA (253 nucleotides) under uncultured bacterium. RNAcentral describes it as "partial 16S ribosomal RNA". It matches the Rfam family "Bacterial small subunit ribosomal RNA", at positions 524 to 776 of the family's 1533-position model. The record is from RNAcentral.